GGUUCUUCGGUGUCUGCAGUCGACGAACGACUGGUGUAGGCGUUUGCUGUGAGAAUGGAGAAUGCAGGGGAACGCCCCUGACUGAGAAGCGGGCCCUGGGAAACGAUUGUGAACGCGUGAAUGAAUUGCUGACUAAAAUCCGCUGCGGGGGUCCUACAGCGCAGAUGUUUACGUUGUUAAAGGGAAGCUGGACGAGAUAAUAAAGAUCUUCAGUUUAGAUCUUGGAGGCAUAUCAACUGUGGUUCUAAAUGGCUAUGAUGUAGUAAAGGAAUGCCUUGUUCAUCAAAGUGAAAUUUUUGCAGACAGACCAUGCCUUCCUUUAUUCAUGAAGAUGACAAAAAUGGGAGGCUUACUCAAUUCCAGAUAUGGCCGAGGAUGGGUCGAUCACAGACGAUUAGCUGUAAACAGUUUUCGAUAUUUUGGAUAUGGCCAAAAGUCUUUUGAAUCUAAAAUCUUGGAAGAAACCAAAUUUUUCAAUGAUG
RNAcentral lists this small RNA (482 nucleotides) under Pan troglodytes (chimpanzee). RNAcentral describes it as "processed transcript". Lineage: Eukaryota; Metazoa; Chordata; Mammalia; Primates; Hominidae. The record is from RNAcentral.